GUCGCGAUAAAUUCGCCUACGACAUGGUA
RNAcentral lists this small RNA (29 nucleotides) under Bombyx mori (domestic silkworm). Its description in RNAcentral is "ovarian small RNA-17786". Lineage: Eukaryota; Metazoa; Arthropoda; Insecta; Lepidoptera; Bombycidae. The record is from RNAcentral.